This 314-nucleotide unclassified non-coding RNA is filed under the name Hevea brasiliensis (rubber tree). The record is from RNAcentral. Lineage: Eukaryota; Viridiplantae; Streptophyta; Magnoliopsida; Malpighiales; Euphorbiaceae.
CCUGCGCCUUCCACUCGCAAUCUGCAGUAAUUGCAUAAGAAAUUCAGCAAUUCUCACUUGAACAGACUCCAUUAGUACUCAUUGAAGAAAAGCCAGGGCGCAUUCACUCUUUAUUUUGUCCCUCAUCAAAAGCCUUAGUGGCGUGUGACAUUUGUAUUGAUUAAGUAUUUUGUAAAAUUGGUAGAAAAUUAUACAUAAUGUUAAAAAUCAACCAAGAAAAAUACAAAACUAGAAAAUGUAAGGCUUCAUUUGGAACAAAUUAUUGCAAGGAAAGAAUUCAAAUGAACUCUCACACAAUCAUACUUGAUUUCUAU